GCAAAGACUGGGAACGGGAAGAGUAGGCGGUCAGCCCUUUCAGAGAGCGGGGAGCAGCAGCUGUGAGCCUCCGCAGGAUAAUGACAGCCGAAGUCGCCCUGGAGUCGCGCGUUUGAGCCGGAGAAUUCCGUGAGGAAGCCGGUUAGAACCCGCCGGCCGCAGACCGUUACUUCUGCAUGAAGUGUCGCAUGUUCAAGAGGACUGCUUGCAUUCCUUGAUUUGUAUUGCAUGCGAAACAAAGGUGGUACCGCGAAAGAAUGGCCUUUCGUCCUUUGA
RNAcentral lists this non-coding RNA (276 nucleotides) under Paenibacillus stellifer. Its description in RNAcentral is "T-box sequence". It matches the Rfam family "T-box leader". From Rfam's summary of the family: Uncharged tRNA acts as the effector for transcription antitermination of genes in the T-box leader family. T-boxes are found upstream of many aminoacyl-tRNA synthetase genes and some amino acid biosynthetic genes usually in Gram-positive bacteria. The record is from RNAcentral. Lineage: Bacteria; Bacillati; Bacillota; Bacilli; Caryophanales; Paenibacillaceae.